Toxocara canis (dog roundworm) is the source of this 72-nucleotide transfer RNA. It matches the Rfam family "tRNA". Rfam says of the family: Transfer RNA (tRNA) molecules are approximately 80 nucleotides in length. Their secondary structure includes four short double-helical elements and three loops (D, anti-codon, and T loops). The record is from Rfam. Lineage: Eukaryota; Metazoa; Nematoda; Chromadorea; Rhabditida; Toxocaridae.
GCGGCAAUAGCUCAGUAGUAGAGCUCCCGCUUCGCGUGCUGGGAGACCCGGAUUCGAUUCCCGGCUGCUUCC